CUCCUGGCGGAGGAGCGCUGCCGUAGCCGCCGCGGGGCGCCGGGCUGCUCUGAGGCACCUGCCCGCCAGCGACAAAGAGGAGGCCGAGGCGGGCAUGGCCAAGGCCGUGACUCCGACGAUGGGUUUAAAUAACGCUCACGGGGUUGGAGAAUCGGUAAUUAAGCCAAGAUUAACCAGCGCUUGCUCAGAACGAGGAACGUAACGCCGUCUCCUCCCAGCGCGCGUGCACCGCAGCGCCUCUGCAAACCGGCCGCGACUCGAACCCCAAAAUAUUUUGCAACCGUAGUCGGAGCCGCCGCCUCCGCUGGCGCUGCCCGUGCUCCCACCCGCGGGGCCGCGGCUGCAGCUCAGAGCCUGGAGGGGUGAUGUAAACAAGCACCGCCGUCAGCGCAAGGUAAUCCAGCUGCCAGUCAAAGCAGCCGAACUGGUGUAACUGGGUGCUGUGAACUCUUUAGACCAACAACUGCCAACUGAGGGGUAAAGGUAAGAUUUCAGGACAAGGAAGCCCUAAACCGGGAGUAAUGUCUCUUGCAUGGAUCCAGAAGAGAUGAGCAUGACUACUUCUAUUUAAAACUUAAAAAUUCACAAGACUGGGGGUGGUGGUGUCACAUGUGCCAGAGGGAGAAGAAAGGCACUUUCACACUGGAAUUCUCAAUGGUUGGUGAAUUGCUAAUAAAAGUUAUCCCAAUUAGAGUAAAAGCCACAGACAAGUUGAAGAAUUCACAUGUGUCCUGCAUAUGGUGAGGCUUCACCUUCAGCACCAAACUAGAGAAGCAGCUGUGCAAAGAGCACCUACGCUUUAUUCCCAGAUUAACAGCUCACCUGAGGAAAGCGAUUGGUUAAUGUCUAAAGAAAGAUGUCUUUUUUCGGAGACUGCCUUGACUUCAAUUAUGGCUUCCGAAAAGGAAAACAAAACACAUUUUUUCAAUAAAAUCAUGAGCACUCCUCCCAAAGUGCAGAAUGGCAAGCAGUUCAUUGAGUUGUUGAGAAAGGAAUUCAGCAUACAAGAGUGACUGGUAACUCAGCCAUUUCUUCUAUCCUCCAGUGACAUUUACAAGCAGCUUGUUUUCAGCCAUGAAGUGGGUGUGCUUGCCAGUCAACAUAACCAGACUUUCAAAUCCAACUCAGGCUCCAAUUUGCCAGUCAGUAGCCUUGGAAGACGAAUUACCAGAUCCUUUGUCUACGAUUAGGCAAAACACACAAAGGAAAGAUUAUUACUGAAAGCUUUUUUGUGAAUCCAUCUGUGAAAGAAAGAGAUCUCAUAUAAACUUUUUUUUUCAGUUGGAAGAGGGAUGCUCUUUUACUUGCAUUGCAUUUUGUCUCUACCCCAAACAUGAGUUUGCAUGAAGCAGCAGUAUAUUAAGAUGCAAAAAGUUACUCAAAUUGUUCCUCUGGAAAACAAAAAAUAACAUAGCUGUUGUAAAACAGACAGGAAAAGGGAGUAAAAGCAUACCCCGAAAGCAGAAAGCAUGGUCAAGUGCCCAAUCUCUCUCAGUGCUCAUGUUGUUUCUUCCCACCUUUUUAAAAAAACAAACAAAACACUACCUGAUAGAAGCUAUAAAAGGAUUUUUCAGCUGCAGUGGAAUUUGUCUACCUCAGGAUCUGGUUACACCCUAGUAUGAUGGCAAUACAAGAAAUUACUCCACAUCCCCUAAGACAUGUGAUUACAAGUAAUCCACCGUGAGUACAAGGCAGUGACUAAACCCUUUUCCAGAGAGAUCUCCUACCUCAAACGUGGAAAGGCCAGCAACAGGCACUGUGACAGCUCUGACUGUUCAGCUAAUAGAAGCCAAUACAAGAACACCAGAUUCCACUUGGAACUUCACAUUUAUUGUAAUCCCCAGCUACUGCAGGAAACAACUAACACUGCCCACUUAAAGUCCAGCUACUACCUCUGAAGAUCCCAAAGCAUGGUGCUAAAUACCUGCUAAGCAUGUAAUGUGGUAAGCACUCACGAGUGAACCCAGGGGUUACUCUUGGUGAGCUGAGCAUAUGAUUUGGCAUUUAGUUUGAUGCGAUAUUUGCAGAUUAAGACUAUUUUUCACCUAUGAGUUAAGUAUGUUACAGUAUCUUGACGAGGUGAAGAGAGCCAAUUAAUUUUCUAGAAGUUAAAAAAGCUGCUUCCUGUUUCAGCAAUGGAUUCAGUCCUCUGACCCAUUUCAGAUAGUAAAACUGGACACACACAUGCUUGUUUGACAAUAACCUGCAGCAGAUCAUCUUCAAGAACUGUACUUCAGGACCUUUGAACGUUAGGUGUCCAUAUUACUUCUAUAGACAGUUAAAAUCAUGUUAUCCUCCUGUAACCCUCUAUGUAUUACCAUCAGUAAUGUCACUAAGUUUGUGGAUAACCUCCAAACACUUGAAGUAUUCAUGUUCCAAGGCCUUACAGCUGUCACUAGCAAAGUACCUAAAGACUUCAGUGUGUAGUCUUUACCUUUUUUACACUGAGACCAAGUUCAUUUUUGAAGAAACCCAGUCUGUUAUCCAGUCUUUCCACUGAAAACAACAGCAAAUAUGG
Molecule: long non-coding RNA, 2518 nt
Organism: Haliaeetus leucocephalus (bald eagle)
Lineage: Eukaryota; Metazoa; Chordata; Aves; Accipitriformes; Accipitridae
Exons: 4
Source: RefSeq, a predicted model, not a curated record